GAAAAACUCACUUUAGAAUUCUCCAUUCAAAUAUAAUUUAAGAUUUUGAAAACCCAUGUCUACAGAUGAGUCCUGUUCUCUGCUAAGUUAUUCUGUGAAUAGCUAGACUUGUUUUGCAAACUGUGUGCUUCUACUUGCUUAUCUCAUGUCCUAUCAAAAGGGAGCUUGUGGGAACUGUUAGUGUUCAUGUUUUGCCUUUUCAGACUUUGAUCUGGUGGAGGAAUUCUUCUGGUGGUGAACACCACAAAAGAAAGCACCUGUCUUUCUUAAGAGGUAGAGAGCAGGCCUUCAGGCUUGCAAGGGCAGCUCAUCGUAGAAGGCAGCAGCCUUAACUGGAGUGAGGAUGGAAGACACUGGAGGGGAAGAAAACAGCUCUGGAGGAGAAACAGACUUACUUUCCUUACCCAAGUGGAGGAGGUGUGUGAGGAAAAGAUGCAGGGGUGGAUGGCAGGGUCCAGGCAAGAAAGGAAGCCCAGAGGUAAAGCUAUUGCAGAGGCUGUUGGUGACACUGGUGCUUUGACGGGCUGAGCAAGUCCCUGGCCCUCUGUGAGCUGGGGCAAAGCUUACAUGUGACUGUUUUCACAGCACAAUGCCCAGUAAGUUUUGCUCAGUGGGGUUUUCUGUUCAGAAACCUCCUUUCAAAUUGCUGUUAGCUCCUGGGCUGACCAGGUGCCAGUGGUGUGGUGGAGGAGGCCCCACCUGGAACUCUGGUGUGGAAGGAGGAGACUGUGUUUUCAGUUUCUGGGACUUGAUGGUUUUCUGAGAACAUGGUGUCAUCAAAUCCUCUUUAGAGGUUUUCACACGACCUUUCUGAGGGCAUGAUUUGAACUAAACACAAGACUCAAACUAAUUGGACUGUUUUAAAGUGAUUGGUCUGCAGUAUCUCUGAGGUUUAUCUGGCGGUUAUGUUGUUCGUGCAACAUGGCUGGUGAGCAACUGCUUCAAGUCCUGAGAGAUGGGAGAGAGACUGCGCCUUUCCAGAGGCUGCAGGAUGAGUUCAGACCACCCAGACACUGGAGCACACAGAGAAUAAAAAUAUUUAGGGCAGAUUUUGACAUGGUAAACCAUGUUCAAGCAUCACAAUCUUGCUUAUGUUUAUACUGCCCAAAGACUUCGAUUCUAUUCCAUUUCCCCCCAUUUCCU
This 1143-nucleotide long non-coding RNA is filed under the name Marmota monax (woodchuck). The record is from RNAcentral. Lineage: Eukaryota; Metazoa; Chordata; Mammalia; Rodentia; Sciuridae.